GGCAGAACAAAGAGCUACUUCUUUAUAUUCUAAUCUCUGCCAUGGUUUCAGAGUUCUAAGUUCUGUGCUUCUCACAUAAGCAUGGCUGUUUCCAGUCCAAGGGCCACAGAUGCUCGUCACAGAGAAAGAAGACAGAACAGAAGCAUUCUAUCCCAUCAUGCCUAUGCGCUUGAGCUUGCAACCGUCUUUCAGACUAGCCUGCAGACUCUUCUCUGCCUCUAACAACAACGGCAUCCACCUUUAGCGUGGGGUGGGCAACUUCAUCAAAACAGGCACACGCAUCUAACCUUGUUGACCAAGCAGUCAUCACCAA
Long non-coding RNA from Mastomys coucha (southern multimammate mouse), 313 nucleotides. RefSeq lists it as uncharacterized. The record is from RefSeq and is a predicted model, not a curated record. NCBI's taxonomy places the organism in Eukaryota, Metazoa, Chordata, Mammalia, Rodentia, Muridae. The transcript is spliced from 2 exons.